AAGCCCACUGAUUUCAGCCUCUCCGUCUCCUUCAAGCCGAUGAGAAGUUCAGGGAUAUUCCUGGGAGUGCCUAUUAUGUGGCUCCGGAGGUGCUGAAGCGGAUAUAUGGAGCCGAUAAUUGCAUAUGGAGUGCUGGAGUUAUACUCUACAUUCUGCUGUCUGGCAUUCCUCCUUUUUGGGCAGCAGGGCAGAUCCUCCUGUGAAGCAUAAAUUUCAUUGUAUCCAAGGAGAUAUCAAAUGC
Long non-coding RNA from Triticum dicoccoides, 241 nucleotides. RefSeq lists it as uncharacterized. Lineage: Eukaryota; Viridiplantae; Streptophyta; Magnoliopsida; Poales; Poaceae. The record is from RefSeq and is a predicted model, not a curated record. The transcript has 3 exons.